This 158-nucleotide ribosomal RNA is filed under the name Sporothrix brasiliensis. RNAcentral's name for it is "5.8S ribosomal RNA". It matches the Rfam family "5.8S ribosomal RNA". Rfam says of the family: 5.8S ribosomal RNA (5.8S rRNA) is a component of the large subunit of the eukaryotic ribosome. The record is from RNAcentral. Lineage: Eukaryota; Fungi; Ascomycota; Sordariomycetes; Ophiostomatales; Ophiostomataceae.
AAACUUUCAACAACGGAUCUCUUGGYUCUGGCAUCGAUGAAGAACGCAGCGAAAUGCGAUACGUAAUGUGAAUUGCAGAAUUCAGCGAACCAUCGAAUCUUUGAACGCACAUUGCGCCCGCCAGCAUUCUGGCGGGCAUGCCUGUCCGAGCGUCAUUU